GCCUGGGUGGCUCAGUCGUCGGUUGAGCGUCCGACUUCGGCUCAGGUCAUGAUCUCACAGUCUGUGGGUUCGAGCCCCACAUCGGGCU
This is a non-coding RNA of Felis catus (domestic cat), 88 nucleotides long. The record is from Rfam. Lineage: Eukaryota; Metazoa; Chordata; Mammalia; Carnivora; Felidae.